UACGAAGGGGGCUAGCGUUGUUCGGAUUUACUGGGCGUAAAGCGCACGUAGGCGGAUUGUUAAGUCGGGGGUGAAAUCCUGGAGCUCAACUCCAGAAUUGCCUUCGAUACUGGCUUUCUAGAGGCUGGAAGAGGUUAGUGGAAUUCCCAGUGUAGAGGUGAGAUUCGUAGAUAUUGGGAAGAACACCAGUGGCGAAGGCGGCUAACUGGUCCAGAUCUGACGCUGAGGUGCGAAAGCGUGGGGAGCAAACAGG
RNAcentral lists this ribosomal RNA (253 nucleotides) under uncultured bacterium. Its description in RNAcentral is "partial 16S ribosomal RNA". It matches the Rfam family "Bacterial small subunit ribosomal RNA", at positions 524 to 776 of the family's 1533-position model. The record is from RNAcentral.